Molecule: ribosomal RNA, 253 nt
Filed under: uncultured Parabacteroides sp.
Lineage: Bacteria; Pseudomonadati; Bacteroidota; Bacteroidia; Bacteroidales; Tannerellaceae
Description: partial 16S ribosomal RNA
Rfam family: Bacterial small subunit ribosomal RNA
Source: RNAcentral
UACGGAGGAUGCGAGCGUUAUCCGGAUUUAUUGGGUUUAAAGGGUGCGUAGGCGGGCUGUUAAGUCAGCGGUAAAAGCCCGGGGCUCAACCGUGGAAUUGCAGUUGAAACUGGAAGACUUGAGUGUGUUUGAGGUAGGCGGAAUGCGUGGUGUAGCGGUGAAAUGCAUAGAUAUCACGCAGAACUCCGAUUGCGAAGGCAGCUUACUAAGCCAUAACUGACACUGAAGCACGAAAGCGUGGGUAUCGAACAGG